Molecule: ribosomal RNA, 207 nt
Filed under: uncultured bacterium
Lineage: Bacteria
Description: partial 16S ribosomal RNA
Rfam family: Bacterial small subunit ribosomal RNA
Source: RNAcentral
CGCGUAGGCGGGAUAACAAGUCAGGUGUGAAAUCCGGGGGCUCAACCCUCGAACUGCACGUGAAACUGUUAUUCUUGAGUGAUGGAGAGGCAAGUGGAAUUCCUAGUGUAGCGGUGAAAUGCGUAGAUAUUAGGAGGAACACCAGUGGCGAAGGCGACUUGCUGGACAUUAACUGACGCUGAGGCGCGAAAGCGUGGGGAGCAAACA